UGGGGAAUAUUGCACAAUGGAGGAAACUCUGAUGCAGCGACGCCGCGUGAGUGAAGAAGUAAUUCGUUAUGUAAAGCUCUAUCAGCAGGGAAGAUAGUGACGGUACCUGACUAAGAAGCUCCGGCUAAAUACGUGCCAGCAGCCGCGGUAAUACGUAUGGAGCAAGCGUUAUCCGGAUUUACUGGGUGUAAAGGGAGUGUAGGUGGCCAUGCAAGUCAGAAGUGAAAAUCCGGGGCUCAACCCCGGAACUGCUUUUGAAACUGUAAGGCUGGAGUGCAGGAGGGGUGAGUGGAAUUCCUAGUGUAGCGGUGAAAUGCGUAGAUAUUAGGAGGAACACCAGUGGCGAAGGCGGCUUACUGGACUGUAACUGACGUUGAGGCUCGAAAGCGUGGGGAGCAAAC
Molecule: ribosomal RNA, 401 nt
Filed under: uncultured Lachnospiraceae bacterium
Lineage: Bacteria; Bacillati; Bacillota; Clostridia; Lachnospirales; Lachnospiraceae
Description: bacterial SSU rRNA
Rfam family: Bacterial small subunit ribosomal RNA
Source: RNAcentral